UAAGGCUUCAACCACUGUUUUCACCAUAGCAGCGGGGCCAUUCAGCUCAUAAAUGAGGUACAAAUGAAGUUGUCUCCCCACUAAGGCUUCAACCACUGUUUUCACCAUAGCAACGGGGCCAUUCAGCUCAUAAAUGAGGUACAAAUGAAGUUGUCUCCCCGCUAAGGCUUCAACCACUGUUUUCACCAUAGCAACGGGGCCAUUCAGCUCAUAAAUGAGGUACAAAUGAAGUUGUCUCCCCACUAAGGCUUCAACCACUGUUUUCACCAUAGCAGCCGGGCCAUUCAGCUCAUCAAUCUGUAAGUCGCUCUGGAUAAGAGCGUCUGCUAAAUGACUUAAAUGUAAAUCUCAUAAAUGAGCUACAAAUGAAGUUGUCUCCCCACUAAGGCUUCAACCACUGUUUUCACCAUAGCAACGGGGCCAUUCAGCUCAUAAAUGAGCUAUAAAUGAAGUUGUCUCCCCACUAAGGCUUCAACCACUGUUUUCACCAUAGCAGCCGGGCCAUUCAGCUCAUAAAUGAGGUACAAAUGAAGUUGUCUCCCCACUAAGGCUUCAACCACUGUUUUCAUCAUCGCAACGGGGCCAUUAAGCUCAUAAAUGAGGUACAAAUGAAGUUGUCUCCCCACUAAGGCUUCAACCACUGUUUUCACCAUAGCAGCCGGGCCAUUCAGCUCAUUAAUGAGCAAAAUGGUUCUUCAAAGGGUUCGCCUAUGAGGACAGUCCAAUAACCCUUUUAGGUUCUAGACAGUACAUUUCUUUCUAAGAGUGAAGUGGGCAAGCUUACAAAACAAAUACAUUUAGAUAGAUUUUAUGCAAUUGCUUGUCAUAUAGAAUAUAUUCAUUAUAUUUCUAUCAAAACAUUCAGAUAGAAAUGUAUAGCAUAUACAGUAAUAUAGGGCUUUCAUUGU
Oncorhynchus keta (chum salmon) is the source of this 908-nucleotide long non-coding RNA. RefSeq lists it as uncharacterized. The record is from RefSeq and is a predicted model, not a curated record. Lineage: Eukaryota; Metazoa; Chordata; Actinopteri; Salmoniformes; Salmonidae. The transcript is spliced from 3 exons.